RNAcentral lists this ribosomal RNA (236 nucleotides) under uncultured Lactobacillus sp. Its description in RNAcentral is "partial 16S ribosomal RNA". It matches the Rfam family "Bacterial small subunit ribosomal RNA", at positions 129 to 354 of the family's 1533-position model. The record is from RNAcentral. Lineage: Bacteria; Bacillati; Bacillota; Bacilli; Lactobacillales; Lactobacillaceae.
CCCAAGAGAUCGGGAUAACACCUGGAAACAGAUGCUAAUACCGGAUAACAACAGAUGAUGCCUAUCAACUGUUUAAAAGAUGGUUCUGCUAUCANCUCUUGGAUGGACCUGCGGUGCAUUAGCUAGUUGGUAGGGUAACGGCCUACCAAGGCGAUGAUGCAUAGCCGAGUUGAGAGACUGAUCGGCCACAUUUUGGGACUGAGACACGGCCCAAACUCCUACGGGAGGCAGCAGGC